RNAcentral lists this ribosomal RNA (301 nucleotides) under uncultured bacterium. RNAcentral describes it as "partial 16S ribosomal RNA". It matches the Rfam family "Bacterial small subunit ribosomal RNA", at positions 509 to 807 of the family's 1533-position model. The record is from RNAcentral.
CAGUCGCCACGGGAAUACGGAGGGUGCAAGCGUUAAUCGGAAUUACUGGGCGUAAAGCGUGCGUAGGCGGUUCGUUAAGUCUGUUGUGAAAGCCCCGGGCUCAACCUGGGAAUGGCAAUGGAUACUGGCGAGCUAGAGUGUGUCAGAGGAUGGUGGAAUUCCCGGUGUAGCGGUGAAAUGCGUAGAGAUCGGGAGGAACAUCAGUGGCGAAAGCGGCUCACUGGACAAUAACUGACGCUAAUGCACGAAAGCUAGGGGAGCAAACAGGAUUAGAUACCCCCGUAGUCCCUGUCUCUUAUAC